Molecule: ribosomal RNA, 403 nt
Filed under: uncultured bacterium
Lineage: Bacteria
Description: partial 16S ribosomal RNA
Rfam family: Bacterial small subunit ribosomal RNA
Source: RNAcentral
GACGAACGCUGGCGGCGUGCCUAAUACAUGCAAGUCGAACGCAGUGGGGACGGGUGAGUAACACGUGGGUAACCUCCCAUCAGAGGGGAUAACACUUGGAAAAAGGUGCUAAACCGAUACUGAUGGAUGGUCCCGCGGUGCAUUAGCGAGUUGGUGAGGUAACGGCUCACCAAGGCCACGAUGCAUAGCGGGCCGGAGAGGGGGAUCGGCCACACGGGGACGGAGACACGGGCCAGACUCCUACGGGAGGCAGCAGUGGGGAAUAGUGGGCAAUGGGCGAAAGCCUGACCGAGCAACGCCGCGUGAGUGAAGAAGGUUUUCGGGUCGUAAAACUCUGUUGUUAGAGAAGCGGUAUCUAACCAGAAAGCACCGGCUAACUACGUGCCAGCAGCCGCGGUAAUAC